AGGGUUGUAGCUCAGUGGUAGAGUGCUUGCUUGGCAUGUGCAAGGUCCUGGGUUCAAUCCUUAGUACCCCCG
Molecule: transfer RNA, 72 nt
Filed under: Cricetulus griseus (Chinese hamster)
Lineage: Eukaryota; Metazoa; Chordata; Mammalia; Rodentia; Cricetidae
Rfam family: tRNA
About the family: Transfer RNA (tRNA) molecules are approximately 80 nucleotides in length. Their secondary structure includes four short double-helical elements and three loops (D, anti-codon, and T loops).
Source: Rfam by way of RNAcentral